GUUUGGGUUAGGUUUGGGUUUGGAUUAGGUUUGGGUUUGGUUUAAAUUUUUUUAGGUUUGGGUUUGGUUUGGGUUUGGAUUAGGUUUGGGUUUGGAUUAGGUUUGGGUUUGGUUUAAAUUUUUUUAGGUUUAGGUUUGGGUUAGGUUUGGGUUAGGUUUGUGUUAGGUUUGGGUUAGGCUUGGGUUUUGUUAGGUUUGUGUUUGGGUUAGGUUUAGGUAUGGUUUGGGUUUGGGUUAGGUUUGGGUUUGGUUUGAAUUUUGUUAUGCUUCGGUUUGAUUAGGUUUGGGUUUUGUUAGGUUUGAGUUUUGUUAGGUUUGGGUUUGGGUUAGGUUUGGGUUGGGUUUGGGUUAGGCUUGGGUUUGGUUUUAAUUUUGUUAGGUUUGGGUUUUUUUGGGUUGGUUUUUGUUCAGUUUGGGUUUUGUUAGGUUUGGGUCUCUUAGGUUUGGAUUUUGUUAGGUUUGGGUUUC
Pectinophora gossypiella (pink bollworm) is the source of this 468-nucleotide long non-coding RNA. RefSeq lists it as uncharacterized. The transcript has 4 exons. NCBI's taxonomy places the organism in Eukaryota, Metazoa, Arthropoda, Insecta, Lepidoptera, Gelechiidae. The record is from RefSeq and is a predicted model, not a curated record.